Molecule: small nucleolar RNA, 140 nt
Filed under: Otolemur garnettii (small-eared galago)
Lineage: Eukaryota; Metazoa; Chordata; Mammalia; Primates; Galagidae
Description: Small nucleolar RNA SNORA61 (ENSOGAG00000029262.1)
Source: RNAcentral
AACUAUGACUUGAACUUUACCUUAGAAAUAAAACAAUGUGGUCUUGGUGGUCAUAAAAGGAAGAAAAGUAAUACUGAAGCUGGCCUCACAUCACUGUAGUGUGGUAUAUCUCGGGUGAAACAGGCUGGAGGAAAAAUUUU